AGUGAACGCUGGCGGUAGGCCUAACACAUGCAAGUCGAACGGCAGCACAGUAAGAGCUUGCUCUUACGGGUGGCGAGUGGCGGACGGGUGAGGAAUACAUCGGAAUCUACUUUUUCGUGGGGGAUAACGUAGGGAAACUUACGCUAAUACCGCAUACGACCUACGGGUGAAAGCAGGGGUUCUUCGGACCUUGCGCGAUUGAAUGAGCCGAUGUCGGAUUAGCUAGUUGGCGGGGUAAAGGCCCACCAAGGCGACGAUCCGUAGCUGGUCUGAGAGGAUGAUCAGCCACACUGGAACUGAGACACGGUCCAGACUCCUACGGGAGGCAGCAGUGGGGAAUAUUGGACAAUGGGCGCAAGCCUGAUCCAGCCAUACCGCGUGGGUGAAGAAGGCCUUCGGGUUGUAAAGCCCUUUUGUUGGGAAAGAAAAGCAGCAGGUUAAUACCCCGCUGUUCUGACGGUACCCAAAGAAUAAGCACCGGCUAACUUCGCG
This 492-nucleotide ribosomal RNA is filed under the name uncultured bacterium. Its description in RNAcentral is "partial 16S ribosomal RNA". It matches the Rfam family "Bacterial small subunit ribosomal RNA", at positions 29 to 507 of the family's 1533-position model. The record is from RNAcentral.